RNAcentral lists this ribosomal RNA (2334 nucleotides) under Triticum aestivum (bread wheat). RNAcentral's name for it is "partial small subunit ribosomal RNA". The record is from RNAcentral. Lineage: Eukaryota; Viridiplantae; Streptophyta; Magnoliopsida; Poales; Poaceae.
AUGCAAGUGUUUUUGAAGCUUUGCCUCGGUCUCGUAUUGCUUGUAGCAAAGUAUGCACCUGGAACUGCGGUUCCUAGUUUAGAUUGCCGAAGGCAGUGUGGUACCGUUGAGAUACCGUACCCAUUCGGUAUCGGACUGGACUGCUCACUCUCUCAAGGCUUCAACAUCAGUUGCAAGGUCCAAGAUGGCGUCUCCAAGCCAUUCAAAGGCGACUUUGAGGUGGUGGACAUUUCCUUGACUCAUGGCACGAUCCGGGUGCUAAAUUACAUCACGGCCUACUGUUACAACACCUCUACAACGAGCAUGAAGUUUUUCGGCCGUCGUGGCUAUGUAGGUCGACCUUCCUCCCUCUACCGGCUCUCUGACGUUCAGAACAGGUUCACCGUCAUCGGGUGCAACGCCCUCGCCUUUAUCUCCGACUACAAUGGCACUGGAUAUCAGGGCUUGGGUGUCGCAACGUGCCGCAACUUGUCAGACUUAGCAGACGGAUUUUGCUCUGGUAUGGGCUGCUCCCAGACUGCAAUACCAAAGAGGAUGUUUUACUACGACACAACCUUCUUGAGAGCGGUCAACACAAGUGAAAUCUGGGAGUUCAACCGUUGCAGCUAUGCGGUACUGAUGGAGGCAGCGGCAUUCAAGUUCAGUACUACUUACAUAAACACCAACAAUUUCAAUGACACAUAUAAUGGAAGGGUGCCUAUGGUUCUUGAUUGGGCUAUGAGAGAUGUGAAGUCAUGUGAUGUUGCAAAACAGAAUAUGACUGGUGCUUAUGCAUGCCUUAGCACCAACAGUAAGUGUGUGGAUUCCACCAAUGAUCAAGGGUACACAUGCAAUUGCACCAAUGGUUAUGAAGGCAACCCUUAUCUUCAAGACGGAUGCAAAGGUAUGGAUUAACAUUGAGUGUCACUGUAUAUAUGCACUAAUGCUCAUCAAACUGCACCUUGGAUAGUAUAUAUGCACUAAUGAUCAUCAAAAGCAAGACCUCUACAUUACUUACAAGUUACAACUAUAAUAUUAUGUGUCUUACUUACAACUAUAAUCUUUUGCUUUGCUAAUUUUCUGCAGAUGUUAAUGAAUGCAGUCACGACCCAUGCCCUUCAGAUGGUUAUUGUCAAAAUAUCGUUGGAGAAUACCGGAGUUAUAAUGGGAUUAUUCGGCCUGAUGGUUAUCAUCAUGAUCAUUGUCUUCUGGGGACAGAUGAGAAUUCAAAUGAGAAAACUUAACAAAGUUAAGCAGGAGUAUUUUCGCCAGCAUGGAGGCUUGAUUUUGUUUGAUAGGAUGAAAUCAGAGAAAGGUCUUGCUUUUACUAUAUUUUCAGAAGCUCAACUCAUACGCGCCACCGACAACUUCAAUAGUAGCAGAAUACUUGGAAAAGGAGGCCAUGGGACAGUCUAUAAAGGGAUAAUAAACAACAUGCCAGUGGCAAUUAAAAGAUGUGCAGUGGUUGAUGAAAGACAAAAGAAGGAAUUCGGCCAAGAGAUGCUCAUUUUAUCUCAAAUCAAUCACAAGCAUGUUGUCAAGCUCUUGGGUUGUUGUCUUGAGGUGGAAGUUCCAAUUCUGGUAUAUGAGUUUGUCCUAAAUGAUACACUGUUCGAGCUUAUCCAUGGCAAGAACCAAGCAUUGCAAAUAUCCUUCAGUUCUCUCUUAAGGAUUGCUCAUGAAGCAGCUGAAGGACUUAACUUCCUCCAUUCAUUUGCAUCUCCCCCAAUAAUUCAUGGUGAUGUGAAAACUUCCAACAUCUUGCUUGAUGAUAACUAUAUGGCCAAGGUGUCAGACUUUGGAGCCUCCAUACUAGCCCCAUCUGACAAAGAGCAGUUUGUCACAAUGGUUAAAGGUACUUGUGGUUACCUUGAUCCAGAAUACAUGCAAACAUGCCAGUUAACAGACAAAAGCGAUGUGUAUAGCUUUGGAGUUAUCCUUUUAGAGAUUCUCACGGGUCAGUUGCCACUAAAGCUCGAGGGGUCUGAGAAGCAAAGAAGCUUGGCAUUGAUUUUCUUGUCUGCAAUGAAGGAGAAUAACCUAAAUGAUGUGCUGGUUAGCCAUGUAAAAGGCCAACAAAGCACGGAGUUGCUGACGGGACUUGCAGACCUCGCUAAGAAAUGCCUAGAUAUGUGUGGUGACAACAGACCAUCUAUGAAAGAGGUCGCUGAUGAGCUCAACAGAAUGAGGAAACUUUCACUGCAUCCUUGGGUACGGCUCGAUGUUGAUCCAGAAGCAGAAAACCUUCUUGGACGGGAAUCUACUAGUGGGUAUGAAAUAGAAUUAAGUGGGUAUCCUGUGGGUGAAAGUGAGAACCAACCCAUAAAUCCAAGAAGUUCAUAUUAUGCAAGGUGA